This 153-nucleotide non-coding RNA is filed under the name Bacillus sp. (in: firmicutes). Its description in RNAcentral is "Bacillus sp. SAM-I sequence". It matches the Rfam family "SAM riboswitch aptamer (S box leader)". From Rfam's summary of the family: The SAM riboswitch is found upstream of a number of genes which code for proteins involved in methionine or cysteine biosynthesis in Gram-positive bacteria. The SAM riboswitch acts at the level of transcription termination control. Lineage: Bacteria; Bacillati; Bacillota; Bacilli; Caryophanales; Bacillaceae. The record is from RNAcentral.
CUCUUAUCAAGAGUAGGCGGAGGGAUUUGGCCCGAUGAAGCCCAGCAACCGACUGUCACCAGCAUAGCUGGAGCGUUUUAUUAAACGCUGGUAUCCACCUGACAGCACGGUGCUACUUCCAACAGAAAGAGUAAUCUUUCUGGCAGAUAAGAG